Molecule: ribosomal RNA, 574 nt
Filed under: Exophiala aquamarina
Lineage: Eukaryota; Fungi; Ascomycota; Eurotiomycetes; Chaetothyriales; Herpotrichiellaceae
Description: eukaryotic LSU rRNA
Rfam family: 5.8S ribosomal RNA (bases 201-355)
Source: RNAcentral
AUCAUUAACGAGUUAGGGUCUCUCUGGCCCGACCUCCCAACCCUAUGUCUACUUGACCAUCGUUGCUUCGGCGAGCCCGUCCUCACGGACCGCCGGAGGGACCUUCACCGGCCCUCUGGUCCGCGCUCGUCGGUAGCCCAACCAUUAAAAUCUUUAACCAAACGUGCCUUAAUCUAAGUACAAUUAUUAAAUAAAAGCAAAACUUUCAACAACGGAUCUCUUGGUUCUGGCAUCGAUGAAGAACGCAGCGAAAUGCGAUAAGUAAUGCGAAUUGCAGAAUUCCAGUGAGUCAUCGAAUCUUUGAACGCACAUUGCGCCCUUUGGUAUUCCGAAGGGCAUGCCUGUUCGAGCGUCAUUAUCACCCCUCAAGCCCCCUGGCUUGGUGUUGGACGGUUUGGUGGAGGCCCCCUCGGGGGCUCCUGCCCCUCCCAAAGACAAUGACGGCGGCCUCGUUGGACCCCCGGUACACUGAGUUCUUCACGGGACACGUAUCGGAUACAUGGGUUUACGGGACACGGUCUGCCUCCCCUCAGGGAGAAUCUUUCUAAGGUUGACCUCGGAUCAGGUAGGGAUA